UUUUAUGCUCUGAUGGACUGGGAAAACAAAAUUGAUCCUUUACGCUGCAUAUCAAUGCAUGAAAUUACAAAGCCUAAUCCGUUUGCUCAGAAAGAUGAUUCAACUAUAUUUGUCAAUUUCCAGCUGGGUGAUCUGGAGUCAAGAGUAUCACUGCAGUUUGUUUGUUUUGUUGAUGAAGCAUUCCACCAGAUUGAAAGAAAUAAUAGCAAUGUUAAGAAAAUAGGUCUACAUUGUAAAGGACUUGAAUGAGUGGCCUGUGCUUAAAGCCCUUCCAUCUUAUGGCAGAGGAAGAGAUGCAGCAGCUGUAAGGAUCCUAAGCUGGAAAAAUUGCACGCUGAUCAAAUUGCAGCUCUGAAGGGUUGUUUCAGUUGGUAACAAAGAAGCAAAAGUUUUAUGUCAGUCAUUUUAUCACUUAGCAUUUCACUGACUCGGUUGCUAUAUCCCUACAAGUGCAAGAACUCUGUCUCUCUCAGGCAAG
Long non-coding RNA from Rosa chinensis, 478 nucleotides. RefSeq lists it as uncharacterized. The transcript is spliced from 5 exons. The record is from RefSeq and is a predicted model, not a curated record. NCBI's taxonomy places the organism in Eukaryota, Viridiplantae, Streptophyta, Magnoliopsida, Rosales, Rosaceae.